This 60-nucleotide transfer RNA is filed under the name Ixodes simplex. RNAcentral's name for it is "tRNA-Arg". Lineage: Eukaryota; Metazoa; Arthropoda; Arachnida; Ixodida; Ixodidae. The record is from RNAcentral.
AAAAAUAAAGCGAUAUAUUGCAGUCAGUUUCGACCUGACCUUAGACGAAGUCUAUUUUUU